RNAcentral lists this long non-coding RNA (2035 nucleotides) under Pavo cristatus (Indian peafowl). RNAcentral's name for it is "lncRNA (ENSPSTG00000000615.1)". The record is from RNAcentral. Lineage: Eukaryota; Metazoa; Chordata; Aves; Galliformes; Phasianidae.
GUCAAAUUCAGGUGGUAAAUCAGGACGCUGAUGGCACAGCUUUCUAUGCUUUUAUUUAAAAUACAAAACAGAUACGUGGUACUGAGGGACGUGGUCAGUGGGCACGGUGGAGAUGGGCUGAUGGUUGGACUAGAGGAUCUUGGAGAAGAGAAGGCUCUGGGGAUACCUCAUUGUGGCCUUCCAGUAUUUGAAGGGAGCGUACAAAAAGGAGGGGGAACAACUGUUUACAUGGGUGGAUAGUGAUAGAACAAAGGGGAAUGGUUUUAAACUAAGACGGGAGGUUUAGGUUAGAUAUUAGGAGGAAGUUUUUCAUACAGAGGGUGCUGACACACUGGAACAGUUUGCCCAAGGAGGUUGUGGAUGCCCCAUCCCUGGAGGCAUCCAAGGCCAGGCUGGAUGUGGUUCUGGGCAGCCUGGUCUAGUGGCUGACGACCCUGCACAUAGCAGGGAGUUGAAACUAGAUGAUCUUUGAGGUCCUUUUCAACCCAGGCCAUUCUAUGAUUCUAUGAUCUUAGAGGUCAUUCCAACCUUAAUGAUUCUAUGGUUCUAUGAACGGGUCACUGCCACCUGCAGGACCACCUCUAUCCAGUCCGUCUCGGGCAUUCAACAGCCGCCCAGGCGGAUCCAACGGCCAUGCAGCCCGGGCCGCGAUUGCCGCGGCGCAGGACUAGGAAGCGCAGAGGGCCGACAGCCCGCCGAGCGAGACGGCAUUGAGCACGUCCUCCCGCCGCUAGGGGCGGACUACAGUUCCCGAAGGGCUGCGAGCGCGGAGGGAGGGCGGCCUCGCUUCCCGCUCCGGCGCGGCUCCGACGGCGCCGCGGGAACCGAUGGAGGGCGCCGAGGCGCAGGUGCGGUGCCCCGUGUGCCUGCGGGAGCUGCCGGGAGCGCUCAUCAACUCGCACCUGGACCACUGCUUGCAGGCCGCGGAUGGCGAGGCGCAGCGGGGCUGCUCGCCCCCUUCCAAGAGGCCGCGCCUCGCUUCCACUCAGCCGGGCGGCGAAGCGGAGGAGCAGCCCGAGGAGGCCCGCCCGGCGGCCGCCCCCGUUUUCUCCCUGUUCCACAAGGGCCAGAGCCCGGGAGCCCCCGGCAGAAGGAGCGGGGCCGGGCGGGGAGAUGCCGCCGAGCAGCCGGAGGAGGGCGGCGGGCCUACGCUGCGAGGGGCGAGCGUGGCGCAGCGGCUGGAGGGGCAGCCCCUGGCCGACAGGCUGCGGCCGGACACGCUGCGCGACUACGUGGGGCAGGAGCGAGUGCUGGGCGCCCACACUUUGCUGCGGUCCCUGCUGGAGUCUCACGAGAUCCCCUCCCUCAUCCUCUGGGGACCGCCGGGCUGCGGCAAGACUACCCUCGCUCAUAUAAUCGCCAACAGCAGCAAAAAGAAAGGCAUGAGGUUUGUGACGCUGUCAGCCACAAGUGCCAAGACAAACGAUGUUCGAGAUGUCAUCAGCCAGGCCCAGAAUGAAAAAAGACUCUUCAAGAGAAAAACCAUUCUCUUUAUCGACGAGAUCCAUCGGUUCAAUAAAUCUCAGCAGGUAUUGUGCUGCAUUGCUUUUUUGGCAAAAGCCUUUGUCAGAACAUCUGUGAAAUCCUCCACUUUGCCUUAGAAUGAUAGCUUACUUUGGGCUUUUGAUUUUAAUUUUAAUGCUUGCGGUAAAUGAAUUACAGGAUGUAAUACUUAUGUCUCUAACUAACUAGUGCGCAUCAACAUGCAGUUCCUGUGAUGCAAAGAUUUAAAGAAAAGCCUGAGCUGUACCUGCAGUUGACUUACGUAGUGGGCUUUAGAUGACAUUUUCCUGGGAUUUUAUUUCUUCAGAGUCAUAUUAGUAACGUUUGCUGUACAUAGCUUAAUUUCAGCCUCCACCGUGGCGAUAACAUUCUGUGUUACUUUUCAAAAGGUCUGGAAUGGGGAUGUGCAUGGAGUGUUUGUUUUAGUGCUGUGCUCUCCUCUCUGCGCUAACAAAGAAAAUAAAGGCAUAGCAUGGUGCUUUGGGAUAGUAUGUUGCUGCAGCCAUCACUUGGGCGUUUGCUUCCUAUUUCU